UUGACUUUUGGGACUAAUGGGAGAUCAUAUAUGCAUAAUAUGAUGAAAUUUUAAGUAUACAUUGAAAUUUUUUAUCAAUUGUUGAAGAAGCUUGAUGAAGAAGUUACACAAGAUACCCAGAUGAACUAGGGUUUCCAAGGCAAACCUACUCCAAACUUUUGAUGAAUUUUUUACCAAAAUAACAUGUGAUGCUCAUGGGGAUCCAUAUAUGAUGCCUAGAGCCAUACUAAACCAAUUCUUG
Molecule: long non-coding RNA, 241 nt
Filed under: Lathyrus oleraceus (garden pea)
Lineage: Eukaryota; Viridiplantae; Streptophyta; Magnoliopsida; Fabales; Fabaceae
Description: Pisum sativum (pea) long non-coding RNA (PSAT_LNC012176)
Source: RNAcentral